UCGCCUGUUUAUCAAAAACAUUGCCUCUUGUUUUACCAUAAAAGGUAAAUUCUGCCCAGUGAAUAUUUUAACGGCCGCGGUACCCUGACCGUGCGAAGGUAGCAUAAUCAUUUGUCCUUUAAUUGGGGACUAGUAUGAAUGAAUAAACGUAGAGCACCCUGUCUCAUGGAAAUCAAUAGAAAUUUACCUUUAGGUGAAGAGGCCUAAAUACUAAUAAAAGACAAGAAGACCCUAUCAAGCUUUUUAUAUUUAUAUACUAUUAAUAAUAAUUAUAAUUAAUUGGGGCGAUUUUAAAUAAAACCAAACAUUUACAAAUAAUAAGAAAAAUAAUUCUAUAUUUAUUAACUAUAAAAUAAACAUAAGAAAGCUACUGUAGGGAUAACAGGCUAAUAUUUUCUGAGAGUCCUUAUCAACGAAAAUGUUUGGCACCUCGAUGUUGGCUUAGGAACCCAAAUUUGUGCAGAAGCAAAUUCUGGUGGUUUGUUCAACCAUUAAAUUCCUACAUGAUCUGAGUUCAAACCGGAG
RNAcentral lists this ribosomal RNA (525 nucleotides) under Synmerosyllis yolandae. Its description in RNAcentral is "partial 16S ribosomal RNA". It matches the Rfam family "Bacterial large subunit ribosomal RNA", at positions 1796 to 2621 of the family's 2925-position model. The record is from RNAcentral. Lineage: Eukaryota; Metazoa; Annelida; Polychaeta; Phyllodocida; Syllidae.